RNAcentral lists this ribosomal RNA (414 nucleotides) under uncultured microorganism. RNAcentral's name for it is "bacterial SSU rRNA". It matches the Rfam family "Bacterial small subunit ribosomal RNA", at positions 9 to 420 of the family's 1533-position model. The record is from RNAcentral.
GAGUUUGAUCGUGGCUCAGAUUGAACGCUGGCGGCAUGCCUUACACAUGCAAGUCGAACGGCAGCAUGAUCUAGCUUGCUAGAUUGAUGGCGAGUGGCGAACGGGUGAGUAAUACGUCGGAACGUGCCCUGUAGUGGGGGAUAACUAGUCGAAAGAUUAGCUAAUACCGCAUACGACCUGAGGGUGAAAGUGGGGGACCGCAGGGCCUCAUGCUAUAGGAGCGGCCGAUGUCUGAUUAGCUAGUUGGUGGGUAAAGGCCCACCAAGGCGACGAUCAGUAGCUGGUCUGAGAGGACGAUCAGCCACACUGGGACUGAGACACGGCCCAGACUCCUACGGGAGGCAGCAGUGGGGAAUUUUGGACAAUGGGCGAAAGCCUGAUCCAGCAAUGCCGCGUGUGUGAAGAAGGCCUCGG